GUUAUGUAGCUGAAGAAAUUGCCUGACGUCUCGACGAGAUCGGUCGUGACGAUGCUUGUUCGACCAGUCUUCAUGUCCUUGGCGAAGCAUCCUUACGGACCUUUGGAGCAAAUGAGUCAUAUUAUUUAAAUCAAGUAUGGGGGAUCUGACGUCGUCCGCGAGCAGGUCUUUUGCGGUUGAUCUCGUUUACUUUCACCUUAGCACACCCAAAGGUUAGACCAGUUUGAAACCCACAGCCACCGCAUCAACAAUCAAACUACUCCAAGAUGAAGCUCUGGUUCGUAAUCCUGCUCGGAGCCACUUUGCUCUUCGCUCACGUUUUGACAGCGGUGACUACGUCAUCUACGGCAAAACCAGGAUCGCAAUUUAUCUCCUCCUUCGACGAGAUAGUCGUCGAAUCGAGUCUGAGAGUGAAAGGGAAGGACAACCAAGGGAGGCAAGGAAGGACGAAACUUGUCACCGUUACUCCCAAUCAGCCCUCCAAUUCUACUUCAACGACAACAUCUACAACCACAAAACCAAGCAAAUAAAUAAAGAUGGUUAUAAAUUUA
Cimex lectularius (bed bug) is the source of this 551-nucleotide long non-coding RNA. RefSeq lists it as uncharacterized. The transcript has 4 exons. The record is from RefSeq and is a predicted model, not a curated record. Lineage: Eukaryota; Metazoa; Arthropoda; Insecta; Hemiptera; Cimicidae.